UGGCGGACGGGUGAGUAACGCGUGGGUAACCUGCCUCAUACAGGGGGAUAACAGUUAGAAAUGACUGCUAAUACCGCAUAAGACCACAGCACCGCAUGGUGCAGGGGUAAAGACUCCGGUGGUAUGAGAUGGACCCGCGUCUGAUUAGGUAGUUGGUGGGGUAACGGCCUACCAAGCCGACGAUCAGUAGCCGACCUGAGAGGGUGACCGGCCACAUUGGGACUGAGACACGGCCCAA
RNAcentral lists this ribosomal RNA (238 nucleotides) under uncultured bacterium. Its description in RNAcentral is "partial 16S ribosomal RNA". It matches the Rfam family "Bacterial small subunit ribosomal RNA", at positions 96 to 334 of the family's 1533-position model. The record is from RNAcentral.